CUGUUCUUUAAUUAAUAAAUCAAAUGUUGUUCAAUCCUAAUACACAAUUUCUUUCGCUUAUGAUAUUGCAGAGAUGUAACUCUCCACUGUUGGCUUAGUUACAAAUGUACUACUUUUUUUACCUGUAAGGCCAUCCUCUGAAUUGAGAUGCACUUCUGAUGGGGGCUUAAAUUGGGCAAUAUCGACUUUUUUUUACUUUAAAUAGGCUUUGACUAAUUGCCCUAUUGCCUAUUACUAAUUGCCUCCAUUGCCAGGUGUUCAGUCACUUCCCUUGGUUUUGAUGUUGUACAUUGAUGUUGUAGUAGCUGGUCCAACUUUCCUUCUAUGUUAUCAGGUGAAGCUGUGUGGGAUUAUUCCCUGACCUUUGGUGGGGUUGUUUUUGCUCUCUCCUUGGCCUCUUCAAAGGUUUCAUAGGACAGGGCCAUUCUUUGGACUUGUCUUGAACUGUAAGACUGACGAAGACUAAGUAGGUGAAGACUUCUUUUGAAGAACAGCUUCAGGGACAAGCACUAGAAUGUCACUAAGUGAUUUUUGAAAGUUUUCCUGGCAUUUUUCAUUGUAAGUGGCAUAUAUUGCUUCUCCAAUGCUUUUUAAUUUCCUUUUUGUGACCUUAGGUUCUCUCUGACGUUGUCUCUUGACAUUUGUGUUAAGUUCAGUCAGAGGUCCCUUCCUAGCCCCUUUGCAAAACUUACUUAAAAGGAAGGUAGAUUGUAAUUGAGAGUUGAAUAAAAGACAGGCCUGGCAGCUGGUCAGCGAGUAA
Pocillopora damicornis (cauliflower coral) is the source of this 760-nucleotide long non-coding RNA. NCBI's taxonomy places the organism in Eukaryota, Metazoa, Cnidaria, Anthozoa, Scleractinia, Pocilloporidae. The record is from RefSeq and is a predicted model, not a curated record.